CAGCAGCCGCGGUAAUACGUAGGGUGCGAGCGUUAAUCGGAAUUACUGGGCGUAAAGCGUGCGCAGGCGGUUAUAUAAGACAGAUGUGAAAUCCCCGGGCUCAACCUGGGACCUGCAUUUGUGACUGUAUAGCUAGAGUACGGUAGAGGGGGAUGGAAUUCCGCGUGUAGCAGUGAAAUGCGUAGAUAUGCGGAGGAACACCGAUGGCGAAGGCGAUCCCCUGGACCUGUACUGACGCUCAUGCACGAAAGCGUGGGGAGCAAACAGGAUUAGAUACCCCAGUAGUCCCUGUCUCUUAUAC
Molecule: ribosomal RNA, 301 nt
Filed under: uncultured bacterium
Lineage: Bacteria
Description: partial 16S ribosomal RNA
Rfam family: Bacterial small subunit ribosomal RNA
Source: RNAcentral